Molecule: non-coding RNA, 217 nt
Filed under: Edaphobacillus lindanitolerans
Lineage: Bacteria; Bacillati; Bacillota; Bacilli; Caryophanales; Bacillaceae
Description: T-box sequence
Rfam family: T-box leader
About the family: Uncharged tRNA acts as the effector for transcription antitermination of genes in the T-box leader family. T-boxes are found upstream of many aminoacyl-tRNA synthetase genes and some amino acid biosynthetic genes usually in Gram-positive bacteria.
Source: RNAcentral
GUCGAGUCGAUGAGGGGAAGCAGUAGCGGGUCCCAUCCUUACCAGAGAGCCGGCGGCAGGUGCGAGCCGGCAAGGAUGUCCGUGAAUCCGUCCCUGAGCAGCCGGGCUGAACCGAGGAGUAGGCCCGGCCGGCGGAUGGACCGUUAUUCCAUGAAAGCGGGCUGCAGUUCAUUGCGGCCAAUUCGGGUGGCAACGCGGGAAAGCUCUCGUCCCUUUU